UAUUAAAAUUUUCAUCCAUAUCUACUGUUCAAACCGUAUUGCUAAUAGAAUAACCAUAAAGUUACAUGUGACGUGUCAUGUGUACUUCAUUCUGACAUACAAUGACCAGUUUUUAAUAGUAGAUAUAGAUAAAAAUUUUAACA
Gossypium arboreum is the source of this 143-nucleotide microRNA precursor. It matches the Rfam family "MIR7502 microRNA precursor family". Lineage: Eukaryota; Viridiplantae; Streptophyta; Magnoliopsida; Malvales; Malvaceae. The record is from Rfam.